RNAcentral lists this ribosomal RNA (253 nucleotides) under uncultured bacterium. RNAcentral's name for it is "partial 16S ribosomal RNA". It matches the Rfam family "Bacterial small subunit ribosomal RNA", at positions 524 to 776 of the family's 1533-position model. The record is from RNAcentral.
UACGUAGGGGGCAAGCGUUAUCCGGAUUUACUGGGUGUAAAGGGAGCGUAGGCGGCAGAGCAAGUCAGAAGUGAAAACCCAAAGCUCAACUUUGGGACUGCUUUUGAAACUGUUUUGCUAGAGUAUCGGAGAGGUAAGUGGAAUUCCUAGUGUAGCGGUGAAAUGCGUAGAUAUUAGGAGGAACACCAGUGGCGAAGGCGACUUACUGGACGAAAACUGACGCUGAGGCUCGAAAGCGUGGGGAGCAAACAGG